GACGAACGCUGGCGGCGUGCCUAAUACAUGCAAGUUGAGCGCUGAAGGUUGGUACUUGUACCAACUGGAUGAGCAGCGAACGGGUGAGUAACGCGUGGGGAAUCUGCCUUUGAGCGGGGGACAACAUUUGGAAACGAAUGCUAAUACCGCAUAAAAACUUUAAACACAAGCUUUAAGUUUGAAAGAUGCAAUUGCAUCACUCAAAGAUGAUCCCGCGUUGUAUUAGCUAGUUGGUGAGGUAAAGGCUCACCAAGGCGAUGAUACAUAGCCGACCUGAGAGGGUGAUCGGCCACAUCGGGACUGAGACACGGCCCAAACUCCUACGGGAGGCAGCAGUAGGGAAUCUUCGGCAAUGGACGAAAGUCUGACCGAGCAACGCCGCGUGAGUGAAGAAGGUUUUCGGAUCGUAAAAACUUCUGUUGGUAGAGAAAGAAACGUUGGUGA
This 444-nucleotide ribosomal RNA is filed under the name Lactococcus lactis. RNAcentral's name for it is "bacterial SSU rRNA". It matches the Rfam family "Bacterial small subunit ribosomal RNA", at positions 28 to 460 of the family's 1533-position model. Lineage: Bacteria; Bacillati; Bacillota; Bacilli; Lactobacillales; Streptococcaceae. The record is from RNAcentral.